GAUGAACGCUGGCGGCGUGCCUAAUACAUGCAAGUCGAGCGAACAGACGAGGAGCUUGCUCCUCUGACGUUAGCGGCGGACGGGUGAGUAACACGUGGAUAACCUACCUAUAAGACUGGGAUAACUUCGGGAAACCGGAGCUGAUACCGGAUAACAUGUUGAACCGCAUGGUUCAACAGUGAAAGACGGUUUUGCUGUCACUUAUAGAUGGAUCCGCGUCGCAUUAGCUAGUUGGUAAGGUAACGGCUUACCAAGGCAACGAUGCGUAGCCGACCUGAGAGGGUGAUCGGCCACACUGGAACUGAGACACGGUCCAGACUCCUACGGGAGGCAGCAGUAGGGAAUCUUCCGCAAUGGGCGAAAGCCUGACGGAGCAACGCCGCGUGAGUGAAGAAGGUCUUCGGAUCGUAAAACUCUGUUAUUAGGGAAGAACAAAUGUGUAAGUAACUAUGCACGUCUUGACGGUACCUAAUCAGAAAGCCACGGCUAACUACGUG
RNAcentral lists this ribosomal RNA (497 nucleotides) under uncultured bacterium. Its description in RNAcentral is "partial 16S ribosomal RNA". It matches the Rfam family "Bacterial small subunit ribosomal RNA", at positions 28 to 507 of the family's 1533-position model. The record is from RNAcentral.